Molecule: ribosomal RNA, 242 nt
Filed under: Mycobacterium tuberculosis
Lineage: Bacteria; Bacillati; Actinomycetota; Actinomycetes; Mycobacteriales; Mycobacteriaceae
Description: partial 23S ribosomal RNA
Rfam family: Bacterial large subunit ribosomal RNA
Source: RNAcentral
AUACAGACCGCUAGGUCGUCGCGGCUUAUGCCGCGCCCUCCCGGAGCACAGCCCUGAAAGGGCGGUACGUGCGUGAGGGAAGCACACUUCAACUUUCUAGAUAUCAAAAUAAGGUAUCUAACUUUCGAAUACAUAGGGGUUAGAAGCGAACCCGGGGAACUGAAACAUCUAAGUACCCGGAGGAAAGGACACCAAACGAGACUCAGUAAGAAGUGGCGAGCGAACGCGGACCAGGCCAGUGG